This 462-nucleotide ribosomal RNA is filed under the name uncultured bacterium. RNAcentral's name for it is "partial 16S ribosomal RNA". It matches the Rfam family "Bacterial small subunit ribosomal RNA", at positions 28 to 505 of the family's 1533-position model. The record is from RNAcentral.
GACGAACGCUGGCGGCGUGCUUAACACAUGCAAGUCGAACGGAAAGGCCCUGCUUGCCGGGUACUCGAGUGGCGAACGGGUGAGUAACACGUGGGUGAUCUGCCCUGCACUUCGGGAUAAGCCUGGGAAACUGGGUCUAAUACCGGAUAGGAGCCAUUUUUAGUGUGAUGGUUGGAAAGUUUUUUCGGUGUAGGAUGAGCUCGCGGCCUAUCAGCUUGUUGGUGGGGUAAUGGCCUACCAAGGCGGCGACGGGUAGCCGGCCUGAGAGGGUGGACGGCCACAUUGGGACUGAGAUACGGCCCAGACUCCUACGGGAGGCAGCAGUGGGGAAUAUUGCACAAUGGGCGCAAGCCUGAUGCAGCGACGCCGCGUGGGGGAUGACGGCCUUCGGGUUGUAAACUCCUUUCGCUAGGGACGAAGCUUUUGUGACGGUACCUAGAUAAGAAGCACCGGCUAACUACG